This 11028-nucleotide long non-coding RNA is filed under the name Lynx pardinus (Iberian lynx). Lineage: Eukaryota; Metazoa; Chordata; Mammalia; Carnivora; Felidae. The record is from RNAcentral.
UUCUCCCGGAGCCGCAUGAUGUCCUCGGCCAGGUUGUCGCGCUCCACCUCGACGCGGGCCUUGUCGUUGGUGAGCUGGUCCACCUGCCGGCGCAGCUCCCGCAUCUCCUCCUCGUAGAGGUCCCCCAGGCGCGACUUGCCCUGGCCCUUGAGCUGCUCGAGCUCGGCCAGCAGGAUCUUGUUCUGCUGCUCCAGGAAGCGCACCUUGUCGAUGUAGUUGGCGAAGCGGUCGUUCAGCUCCUGCAGCUCCACCUUCUCGUUGGUGCGGGUGUUCUUGAACUCGGUGUUGAUGGCAUCGGCCAGCGAGAAGUCCACCGAGUCCUGCAGCAGACGCACACCGGGCACACUGCUCCGCAGGCGCACCGCCGAGGAGCGCGUGGCGUACGGGCCGCCCGGGGACGAGGCGUAGAGGCUGCGGCUGGUGCUGGGGCGCAACGCGCUGCCCAGGCUGUAGGUGCGGGUGGACGUGGUCACGUAGCUCCGGCUGGAGCUCGGCCGGCUGCCGGUGCCGGGGCCGCCGAACAUCCUGCGGUAGGAGGACGAGGACACAGACCUGGUGGACAUGGCUGAGACGGUGGCGGUGGGCUGGGCGGCUGCGGCGGCGCGGACCGGCUCGGGGAGGACAGGCGAGCGAGGGCGCGGUGGGUGUGGGCGGUGGGAGCGCUGCUGCGUCUCUGGCGCGGGGGACCCCGGAGCGAGAGUGGCAGAGGACCGGACCGGGCCGAGGGCGCAGUUUUUAUAACCCGGUUAGGAAAGAGGGUCCCCUCCCACUGCCAUCCCAGCCGCGGAGAGCGCCAGCCAAUGGGGACCCGACGAGAUGCGGGAAGGGUGGGCGGGGGUUGGGGCGGGGGCGCCCUCGAGCCUUCCUCUCCGCCCCUCUGCAGCCCGGGACUGGGCACCUUCCCGUUACUUUUUGGGUGGGCUGGGACUUUCGGGGGCUUUCCUGAUGUUGGCCUGAGCUCUGCUCUCAGUGGGUGCUGAAAAAGGCGGGGUCGCGCGGUGGUAGGGAACCCUGCCCGGGACCGGACCGGAGGGGUCCCCAGGCGCUGGGCCAAAGAGGCCUGGGAGGAGGCGGGCGGGUGGGAGGGGCGCUCCGCUGCAGGCCAGUGUUCUGCUCGGGGCUGGUGGGUGGGGAGACCCGCGGGCAAAGGGGCAGGAAGAGGGGGGGAUCCCGAGGCGUGGAAGGCGCGGAGAAAGGAACAAAGAACGCCUGAGAUUGGAGCGGGCGUUGGGGGCGCGCACAGCCCAGAACACGGAGCUGGGGUCCCGAGCAGGCUUGGCGCACCGCCCGCUUUGGCCCACGAAUCUUUCCAGCCUCUUGUCUUGGGGGUUCCUUAGGUUCAGGGACCUAACGGGCUCGGUGUGGCUUUGGAGGGCGCGAGCUUCGAGGCUGCGGCCGAGGAAAGCCCGAGGGGCGGGGGGGAGGGGGGGCGAGAGGGGUGGGGUCGCUGAGUCACUGGCAGUGAGUCACCGGAGCCCUGCUGCCCGCCGAGGUUGAGGGCUCCUAGCGGUUCGGGAAACCGUUAGACGAGAUUGACUCAAGUCUCCUCGGGCCGCGCACGCCCUGUUGGUUCUAAGUUUUACCCAACUUCUAGUCGGGCCUCCUCUUUGUUAUGUGCGGUUCGCCCGCGAGGAUCCUAGAGCAGCCCUAAGUUGUUAAGAACUCGCGCAAGCCCGAUUUUGCUCCAAAUGCGCGGACUUCCCAUUAGCAGGAAACUUCUUGCAGACCCCAGAGAGCUGCCAAACACCGGUCUCUGGCAUCACGAACGCCCUCGGGGAAGGGUUUUCUUGCAAAGUUCCCUCCCACCCUUCCCUCUGGGCUCCCCUCGGUGCCCCCACCCCCACCCCCGUGAAACCACACCCGAGUUUUAACAAGAUCUGAAAGUUCUGGGUGAAAGAGGAAACCCGGCGUCCGUCCGUAGUUUCAAAAUCAAAUUGAGAGAUCAUUGGUUUUUCUGCUAUAGUGGAAGUCAUUAAAGGCAUAAUCUGUGCCAAUUAUAGAAUUAAUUAGGUGUUGCUUUAAAGCUCCGACCUGAUUAAUGAAAGGCAAUUAUAUAACUCAAAUGACAGAAUGUUUGGGGGAAAUAGAUUUAUGUGUUCAUUUUGGUUCAGCGAGGCACAUUGCGGGAUUCUGGGGACUUGUCUGGGAAAUGUCACCGGUCCUUUUGGCCUAUUUUCCAAGAAUUAGUGCAAUUGGUCUUCCAGUGAGGGAGAUAAAACUGUCUACAGAGCAAACAGAGCAAAAACCUUCUGGUCCAGGGCACCAGGGAGUGUCAAAUUCCGCCGCCCAAAUCUUUCUAGGUAAAGGGCCAUGGUUGCGGUAUUAGUAAAUGCAGAAUACAGUGCUUACCCCCAAAGGGAGAUGAAGGGAGGAAAGGCCCGACAGUCUUACUGUGGUUAAUUAAGCAGCAAUUGAAACAUCAUGGAAUUUUGUUGUGGUUGUUGUUGUGUGUUUAGAGGACACAUUGAGUACCAGAUGGAUUCACUGCAAAACCACCGUAAAAGUCUAUAGUGGAUAGUUUGGAGAAAAAUGGUAAAAUCCUUCCCCCUUUUUCUGGGGGGAGUGGGAGGGUGGGUGAAGGCUAUGGGUGUGGUACUGGAGGUUACCCGGCAUUUAAGAAAAAUAGUUUGGGACCAAAUUAAGGGUUUAUCCCAGCUUCUCUGUACAAGCCUCUGCUAGGUAAUAUUUUGUUGACCUCAUUUCAGAGAGCUCUGGCAAGUGGCACGGCCAAGGUCAAGGUGCAGGACCUUUGCUGCAUAGCUCCCCUGCUGUGGGUUUCCUUUAUUCUUGCUCCAUGAGAGCUCUUGAUCCAAGCCAUUGCUCAGCAAAUGUCACCAUUGUGAGUGCGCCUGGCAUUUUUAGGAUGAGAAAAAAGCCAUCUCCACAGGGGAGGAGGCGAGGGUGGGCCCUACUCCCACCUAAAAUGCUGAUCCCAGGGCAAUGAGGUGGUGCUGCUUGCUGACUGAGUCACCAUGGAAAAUGAGGGCAAGGCUCUGGUGUGGUGUGGCACGGUGCCCUGUCGGUGACCACAGCAAAUUCCUCGGGGUUAUGGUGACUUCCUCUGGGGUGGACUCUGGCCUUCCUCACCAUUUCUAGGGUACCCCUUCUCCUUUCUAACCCGUCCGCGAUCUGUAUUCGCGGGCAGGACCGUGGUAUGUUCUCUGGCUGUUUUAGCUCAGGCGCUAUAACAAAAUACCGUAGACAGUGUGGCUUAACCAACAAGCGUUCAUUUCUCACAGUUCUGGAGGCAGGAAGUCCGAGAUCAAAGUGCCAGCAGAUUCGGUGUCUGAUAAGGACCUGCUUUCUCCUGUGCAGAGAGCUGCCUUCUUGCUGUGUCGUCAUGUGGCGAAGCCAAGACAAACUGUGGUCUCUUCCACUUCUUAAAAGGGCACUAAUCCCAUAAUGGGGGCUCCACCAUCAACACCUCAUCUAAACCUAAUUACCUCCCAAAGGCUCUGUCUCCAUAUAGGGUUGCAUUGGAGAUGAGGGCACAAACUAUCCAUCCGUGGCAUUUGGCAUAGAUUGGCAUAGAAUGCACACACACACACACACACACACACACACACACACAGAUAUGCAAUAUCCAGUAUGUCCUUCCUAUUAGAAAUUGCCAUAGUUAGCGGUGGACUGUAGGGCGUGGAAAAGUGGAGAUUACAAAAACACUUUAAUCGUUCACGUAGAACGCGUGAGACUUAGAGAAUCAACUUCAUUCAGAGAUACGUGUGCCUCGUGCAGUGCCUCAGCCAGUGGGUCAGUCAUCCGUGUGGGUGAUCCCUCUGUCUGAACCACCUUUCUCAAGGGUGACAAGUAAUCCUGCUAUCUCUGCACCCCGCGUUCCCAGUCACCUUUUGGAAGUAAACAGUAUGCAGACGUAGCUUUCUCACUUCGUAUGUGUUUUCUGAGGGCCACGCCAGCCUCUCUCAGCGGUGUGUUCAAAUGCCAGACCGUGAAGCUGCUUCAAACAUGGUGCCGGUCGUGGAUAAAGAAGGACACCGCCGUAGAACUUGUAGACCAGGCGUAAACAUGACCAAAUCUAAAGCACUCACAGCGAUUUUGGAAUUUGCAAGCUGUGGUGAUGUCAGUUGAGUUGGGGCGAUUUGAACUGACGGACCAGCCAGCCAUGUGCAGACGGGCUUAGGGCCCGUGGGGGCUUUCGGAAAGCUGGCUGGCGGGAGGCCACGCCAGGAGGACAGCCGCUAGCAGGAUCGCCUGCAUGGAAUGUGAGAAGCGAGAAGGUGGAUAAAGCGAGCCGUGAGAAACCUGGCAACGCCAAGAAGGCGUGGUAACAAAGAUAAUAAUACUCAAUGUCAUCAGCGCUUUAAUUUUUGUGCCUGCUGGGUGAUGGGAACUUUGCAAGCAUUUUACUUAAUGCUCUCUCAGCCUCUUGCAAGGUGGGUUUGAUUGUGCAUUUUGCAGCUGAGGAGUCUGAGAGGCGGGCUAACAAUUUGCUCAUGGCCCCGUGACUAAGAGAGGAGGGAGAGAGGGGGCAAGACUUCCUCCUGGGGCCUUUCAGACUCCAAAUGCACUUUUCUUUUCUCUCCGCCUUCCUCGAGGGUGAGAUCUUGCUUACUAUCAAGCAAUCCAAUUCACACAUAUUAUUUAGGGCCUUUCUGCAUUCCAGGAACUGAAGAGGCAGGUUAAUUAUCAGAUUACUCUGUGAAGUAGCAGGACUCGGAAAGGAGCUUGGCAGGUGCUGAGACUAUGAUGCUUUCUGUUAUUCAGGGGAUGGAACAGUGGUUCCUAGUAGAUACGAAGGGAGUUUGGUUUUCACUCGCUCCCUAGAUCGUUAAUUUUGAGAGUUAAACAUUUUCACCUCGAUUUCUUUCCAUCUUUCCAUCUCUUCAAAGCAUCAUAUCCAAAAGCAGACACAGCUCGUCUCACACCCUUGAAACCCCCCAACCCCAACGGCUUCCCCUCCUAACUUCCCAGUCCAGGGCAACAUGGCACGUUACCCAGAUUGGAAACCGUCAUCACCAUGGCCACUGCUUACUCUUAGGUCACUCGGAUCCAGGGGGCGUCCUGGCUUUUUGUUUCCUGUAUCCACUCCUCAGUUUUGUGGCCGUCACUCAUCCGAGUCAUUUUGUGUCUCACCCCUGCGAUGCUGGAAUUGUCUGUCCUCCCCCCAGGCUCUGCGCGCCCCUCCCAACGUGUCUGUCUUCGAGCCACAACCUCUUCUUAAUAACUACAUUCUCAAGACUCCCUGAAGACCCAAAGUGAAUCACUCGUUCCUUCAUUAGAAUGCCCUCCAUGAGGGCAGAGAUUUUUCUCUCUUUGGUUCACUAGCCUAUCUUCAGUGCCUAGAGAAGCCUGGAGCAUUUGUUGAGUGCAUGGAUUAACGCAUGAGCCAUUCACAGAAGAGGGAAGGAAGGAAAGAAGGGAGAGACGAGGCUAAUAUUGUAGUGUUCUAUUCAAUGUUCUAGUUCUAGUAUUCUAUUCAAUGUUCUAGUAUUCUAUUCAAUGUUCAAGCAUUGUGCUAGUGACUUUACGUGUGACUGUAUUUAAUCUCUACAGUGUAUUAUGAUCCACAGAUUUCAUCCACUUUCUCAAAAUACAUUUAUUGAAUAUUUACCAUGUGCCGGGGGCUCCACUCGACACUGAGGAAAGUGAGCAAGGCAGGUGCAAUGCAGGCCCCCUUGGUUGGGAUGUAGACUUGAGUUGUGUGGGCACAUACGUGACCCAGAGAUGCAAUACUCAGGUAAAGGGACAAAGGAAGGAAUUACAGUUUGUAAUAAAGAUGACAAAGGAAACAGAAGUCUUGCUGCAAAGGAGGUUGAGGCUUGGGGCACCUGGGUGGCUCAAUAAGGUCAGCGUCUAACCUCGGCUCAGGUCAUGGUCUCACCUGAGGUUCAUGAGUUCGAGUCCCGCAUCAGGCUCUCUGCUGUUGGCAUGGAGCCUGCUUCAGAUCCUCUGUUCCUCCUCUCUCUGCCCCUGCCCCACUUGUGCUCUCUCUCUCUCUCUCUCUCAAAAAUAAAUAAAACCUUUUUAAAGGAAGAGGUUGAGGCUCAUAACAUUCAACUGUGUCCUUGGAAAGCCAUGCCCGGUGUGAACAUCCAUCCUUCUUUCCACUGCUCCUCCCCGGACAGCAGUUUCAGGGGGGCCCUAAGCUGCUCUCUGUUCCACGAAUAUACCACAUUUCCCCAUGCUCAGACCUUUUCUCAGAUUCCAUUCAACAGACAGGUGUCCUCAUUUUCUACACUUUCUGCAAUGCUUGUUAGUUCAGGUCAGUAAGAAAGUGCCUGUGGCUCCAGGAAGCUCCUAGACUUGUAAAAGGAUUAGGAACCACAUAAAGAUCUGUAAUGCAGAGUGGAAUGUGGUGAGUGCUCCCAUAGAGAUAGGAAUGAAAUACUAGGGGCUUCAGGAGGAACGAUCAUAUCCCCUUGGGGGAGACCAGAAAAUAUAUUUAGAAAAGGUGGUAUUUGAAGAAUGGGUACAAUUUUUAUAGCUUAUCGUGGUAGAGAAAGAAUGUUCGAAACUGAUGAACCCCACUAAGAAAAAAUCGCAUAGAGGGCAGGGUUUCGGGGGGGCAUUGAGGGAAGACUAGAAUCCCAGUAUGGCCCGACUGUGGAGCUGUUGUAGGGGAGAAAGGGCAUCAAAAGCUAAUACGGGACCGUGCGUUGGAGGACGAAAUGCCAGAGAGAGAGGAGUUUAUAAUUAAUGUGGUGGGCAGUGAGAAUUCACUGCCAUUUGUGUCUGGGAGAAAGGCAUGCUUGUGGCUGUGCUUUAGGAAGAAGACUGUUGUGGCAUCUGGGGGAUGAAUCGAGGAGACUGAUUUGAGGGCUGUUUGCCGUAGAUCAGGUGCAUGGUAAAAGGAGCCUACCCUUGAAGGGGGAGAGGCGGGUGUCCUGUGAUGGCACAGGGGGAUGAUUGUUCCAGACCAUGAAGUUAGAGAGAAGACAUGCUUGUCAAAGGGCUCAGAACUUUCUGGACAGGAACUGAGAGAAUGGAUGCGGUAUACACAGAAGAAAAAAGAUGUGGUGGGAAAUUAAUCUCAGGUGAAAGAGAACUCACUUGUAUCCUCUUACCUGGAAGUAUCUUCCCUUCUGUAGUUGAUGUAAAGUAAAACCCCAUGGGCACCUGGGUGGCUCCGUUGGUUAAGCGUCUGACUCUUGAUCUUGGCUCAAGUCGUGAUCUCACGGUUCGUGAGACUGAGCCCCUUGUCAGCCUCUGUGCUGCUUGGGAUUCUCUCUCUCUCCCUCUCUCUGCCCUUCCACUGCUCUCUCUCUCUCUCUCUCUCUCUCUCUCUCUCUCAAAAUAAACUUUAUUUAUUUUAAAAAAAAAAAAUUUUAACAUUUGUUUAUUGCUGAGAGGCAGAGAGAGACAGAGCAGGAGAAGGGGACGGGCAGAGAGAGAGGGAGACACAGCAUCCGAAGCAGGCUCCAGGCUCUGAACUGUCGGCACAGAGCCCGACGCGGGGCUUGAACUCACGGACCGCGAGAUCAUGACCUGAGCCGAAGUCGGACGCUUAACCGAGUGAGCGACCCAGGUGCCCCUAAAUAAAUAAACUUUAAAAAACAAUAACAUAAAACCACAGGAGGAAGGUGAGAUAUAAGCUGGAUCAUGCCGUUUUACCCUUUAUGGCCCUUCUAGCCUGUUCAUAUGAGUUAAUAUCAAUUACCUUAUAUUGUUCCUUAUCUGAUUUGAGUAUGUUGGUCUGGUUUCCACAGAUUUGUAAACUUGGGGACUUCUUUAGUACCCUCUAGAACAGUUUCUAAAGUUCAGAGAAAAAGCUUUAAGACACAUUCCUAGAAAUCUUUCUGAAUCUUUUUGGGGGAAAUAAAAGCAGAUCAUAGUCUCCCCCUAGAACUAUUUAUUACUUACAGCUUCAUCAAAAUCUAAUGUACAGUCUGUGAUGAAGGAGACAGAAAGUGGUGAGUAUGUAGGAGGGAGAGAAAGACAUUAAUUAACAGAUGGAGGGAAAACCUAGUGCAAAAAACUCAAGUUGAUGUGAGACAAAUGCGUGAAGCUAGAUUUUCCGUAUUGCUUCACUGGAUCCAAAAUACAGAAUGAAACCAGCCCAGUUAUAAAAACCAGACCUUAUUUGAAAGAGACCUAAAUGAUACUGUCAGAGUUUAGUUAUUGGCCAAGUGAGACUACCUGAAAACAAGCAGUAUUCGCUUGUGGCCUGUAAUAAUGUUUUUCCCAUGUUUUGGGAUAGAGAAGGUCUUAUCACCACCAGAACAUUUGCCAAGCGCAUUGACAUCUUGGGAAGUCAUUCUGCCUAUUUUGAGGUCACCUAGUUCCUGAGGGGCGGAAGUUUUUUUUUUCAGGAGAUAUUUCAUUAAUGGUCUAAUGAUAGUAACAGUUCAAUAGCACCGUUUUCUUUUCAAGAACUGAAAAAAAUUUUUUUCAAGUUCUGAUUUGUCUUUGUGGUAACCUGUGAGGUUGGAACAGAAGUAUAUUGAUUAUCUGGGUAGCCACAAUGUCUUUCCUGUAUAUUUGAGACCAAUCAAAGAACUCUGUCCCACUUAUCUCAAAACUGACUGAUUAAUUGACCAAUCCUUCCAAAAAUGUGGAGAUGUUUUAUUUCUGGCAUAUCACAUUCACUUUGCCAGCAAAAUUAUUUUCUUCAGAAACAAUGACUAUUGCAUUUACUUUUAGAUAUGUUUGAUAAACUCAGUGUUUAAAAUAUGCCCCAUAAAACACUGGUCUCUACGUGUGCUGACAAAGAUCAUUAUGAUUUAUAGAGAUUAGAAAUGAAAGUCAAAAGACAAAGUAACAGAAAAACAGUAAACACAUAAAUCAAAGUAACCCUAAAUGCAAAUGGAAGGAAAUAUAAGAUGGCAUAAUGAUAAGACUAUGUAAGGCAAAAGAUUAAGAAAACCCAUUAAAUUUAUGACAAAUAACUAAGAAAGACCAUUUUGAGUUGACAGCUUUCUCCAUAAUUCUACUGCAAUGGUUUCCAAAAUAUUGAGUAAAAUUUCGUAUUUCUGAUUAGCUAAGUACUGGAAACAUGCCCUCUAAUGGGACACAUGUGGAUAUAUGGAAUAAGUACAAAAAUAUUAUGGAAUUUGAGCUUAAUAUAGAUUAAAUAUGUUUUCGUUAUAUCAUAAAUCAUGAAAAAUACAGAAUUGUAAUUUCUUCAUCUGUCAUCUCCAGAACUUCGGGAGUUUUGACAUGUGUGAGCAGAAUAUAGUGCAGAGAGAUUUACAUGUCAGGAUCACAGUUUUUGUUUUGCUGACUCUGGAUUGUUUUUCACAGUUCUUGACUCGUGGACUCUAAACAAUGAUAAUAAUAACCAGACAUACCAUGAUAUCAUUACUAAAAUUGGAGUCUGGCCCAGAUUGGAAAACUAAUGGUAAUCAUGAGACCUUGCUUAUUUUGAGUGCCUACUGUAUGCCAAGUGUAAACUUAUUUGCCAUGUAUAAACUUACGGAAUCCUCUCAACAGCCCUACUAUACAUAUGAAGAAACUGAGACACGGAGACGUUAAGUAACUUACUCAAGCUCACACAGCCAGGAAGUGGCAGACCUGGGAUUUGAACCCAGGACUUCUGGCUCCAGAUCCCACACUCUAAACUUCACUGUAAGGCAGUACCUCACACACUGUGGUAUUUUUGCACUACAGUUGGUGAUGUGCCCAAGACCCUUCGCGUUCUUUUCAUGUUAUCUGUCCUAUCUCUUUGGAUUUCUUUUGUUCCUGUUCUGAUGCAGCAACAGAACACUUUUUGAUUCAGAGAAUAUGGUGCCCUUAAUGAAUCAUCAGGAUGUCCAUGGACAUUUUCAGGGACUUUCUGUGGAGAUCUCAGUUUUUAGUUCUGAGUCAGCCUACUAGAAUGAUUUGAUAGUUAUGGCGUAUGACUCCUGCAUACAAUUACAAGAAUGAAAAUCCUCAACCACAUCGCUGGUGGAGAAGAAAUGAACCAACGUUUUUGGAACACGUAGCCUCUGUAAGUAAGAGCAUCUUUGACUUACUGUCUUGUUGGUUUGAAUUUUAGGGAGAUUUAUUAACGUUUGGGGUACUAACAUUGCAUAGGCCAAGAAUAAUGGGAGAGUUUUGAAAUAUGGGAGAUUCAGUGAUUACCUGACAACCAAGAUUCUCAAGGCCAGACUAAACAGUGUUACUGAGGAUACAUAUAAGCUUACUAGCCAGGUAAAACAUUUCUUGCGCAAUAAUAAUCUUAUCGCUUUUGCGUAUCAGGUUUUUCCAAGUAAUGCUCAUCAGCAUCAGUUCUUUUAAAAUAGAGCAUCCUUAAAGCAUCACACAUGUACAAGGGCAAGAGCAAGAGAGUCCCAUUGUAGAAUGCAUGUGAGUAUUAUAAACCAGAUGAAAUCUUAACUCCGUAGUGGCACAGUUACUUUAAUAGAUUGGAUUAUUCUGAAGACAACCAGUGACCCUCUUCCUUCCAUGUAUUUGAGUCCUAGUAUGUGCCAGAAUCCCCGUUAUGUGCAAAGGACACAGAAAUGAAUAAAACACCUUCCUUGCACGCAGGGGGCACCCAAAAUACUUCUCUCUUCUCUGCUCAAUCUUUUUCUCUCUCAGUUUUGCAUGAUUGUGCUGCCACAUUGAGAUCUAGUUCAGCCGUUUCAUAAUGCCCCCACCCAAGGUUCAAAGUGCUUUGGUGAAAUAACAUCGACUUUUACCCUGAAAUCCAUGGAAAUAUGAAGUUUACUGUUUUGUUCUCCCUGAUAAGAGAUAGCAUAAUAACUAGUUGCCGGGUGACUGCAUAAAACACAGGCCCCAAAUGCAGCCGGUGAAGAGCAGUUAGCAAUUAAGUAAAGGAAAUGACUGGUGGGUUUGAAACUCAACACACUGCCCAUGUACUUGUUAGCGUAGGGAGGCCUCUGGGUUGCUCUGACAACUUUUAUCACUAAGGAAAUAGUUUUGGUGACUCAUGCUCGUACAGAACGACUUCUUUCAAAAUCUGUGUUUUCGGUGACCUUACCAUUAUGCUUCUGUUUUCCUUUUUCUUUGGACGGGGACAGAAAAAGCUUCAUUUGGAUGGCAUGGGUUUAUUACUCAGUAGCAUAUUAUUCGCUGGCUGGCUCAUGUUUUGAAAUUUAACGGACUCAGUGGUGAUCAGAGUAAAAG